RNAcentral lists this ribosomal RNA (696 nucleotides) under uncultured Lactarius. Its description in RNAcentral is "eukaryotic LSU rRNA". The stretch from base 268 to 421 matches the Rfam family "5.8S ribosomal RNA". Lineage: Eukaryota; Fungi; Basidiomycota; Agaricomycetes; Russulales; Russulaceae. The record is from RNAcentral.
AGUAAAGUCGUAACAAGGUUUCCGUAGGUGAACCUGCGGAAGGAUCAUUAUCGUAACAAAAUGUGAGGGGCAUGUGAGGGCUGUCGCUGACUCAAUGUCGUGCACGCCCGAGCGUGUCCUCUCACAUAAUAAUCCAUCUCACCCUUUGUGCAUCGCCGCGUGGGCACCCUUUGGGAUCAUCUCGGAGGGGGCUCGCGUUUUCACACAAACCCCCCCCUUUUAAAAGUGUAGAAUGACCUCAUUUAUGCGCUAACCCGCAAUCAAUACAACUUUCAACAACGGAUCUCUUGGCUCUCGCAUCGAUGAAGAACGCAGCGAAAUGCGAUACGUAAUGUGAAUUGCAGAAUUCAGUGAAUCAUCGAAUCUUUGAACGCACCUUGCGCCCCUUGGUAUUCCGAGGGGCACACCCGUUUGAGUGUCGUGAAAACCUCAACCUCCUUGGUUUCUUCUGGAGACCAAAGCAGGCUUGGACUUUGGAGGCCUUUGCUGGCACCUCUCUCUUUUGAAGGUCAGCUCCUCUUAAAUGAAUUAGCAGGGUCCUCUUUGCUGAUCCUCGACGUGUGAUAAGAUGUUUCCAUGUCUUGGUUUCUGGCUCUGUCACUCUUGGGACCCGCUUCUAACCGUCUUGACCUUGCGUCGAGACAAUGUUCGAGCACGUCUCCCAUCUCGGGAAGCUCCCUCGACCCCACGAACCCU